UUUCCUGUCGACAUCCAUCAUACGUUAAACAGCCUUAGAGACUAGAGGCAGUGUCACGUUCUACUGAGCCUUCUCAAGUUCUCGAAUCUUGUGCAAUCUAUAUUUCCUGUGUUUAAUAAUGACUGUUUUUGUUGAUUCCAACGGGCAACAGCUUGCCGAAUUUGCAGGCUCAGGUCAUCUCUCUUCUUCUAAAGGCUAAAGCUGUUGCUGUAGCCUGUACAUCAUGGCUACUCCUACUCAUCCCAUACUUAAGUUUGCCUACAAAAAUGUUACUACUUACUAGUCUAGAAUAGAAUCAGUAGAUCGUGUUUCAUUCAAUGCUAAAUGUAACUUUUGUAAGUUUGCUAAUGUGAAAAGUGUGAUAUUAAUAUGUUGACAUGCUAUGUCAAACUAUGUAUUAUGUGGUUAUUGACAUAACUCUUUUGCAGGUGAGGCGCAGGCAAGAGGAGUUACACCGUAGGCAAGAGGUCGCUCGUCUCAUUGCCGUCAUUGAAGAAUAAAGGUGCGCGCGGCAACUUUCACGCACGGCAACUCGAUCGUCAAGCUUCACAAGUACCUGCAACGUGCAUCUAGCCAGCAAUGAGGUGAGGUGCAGGCAAGAGGAC
Long non-coding RNA from Hyalella azteca, 605 nucleotides. RefSeq lists it as uncharacterized. The record is from RefSeq and is a predicted model, not a curated record. The transcript is spliced from 3 exons. NCBI's taxonomy places the organism in Eukaryota, Metazoa, Arthropoda, Malacostraca, Amphipoda, Hyalellidae.